ACGCUCGACACCUACGGGAGGUAGCAGUCGGGAAUAUUGCGCAAUGGAGGAAACUCUGACGCAGUGACGCCGCGUAUGGGAAGAAGGUUUUCGGAUUGUAAACCAUUUUAGACAGGGAAGAAAAAAGACAGUACCUGUAAAAUAAGCUCCGGCUAACUACGUGCAAGCAGCCGCGGUAAUCUGAGCGGGCUGGCAAGGC
RNAcentral lists this ribosomal RNA (199 nucleotides) under uncultured bacterium. RNAcentral describes it as "partial 16S ribosomal RNA". It matches the Rfam family "Bacterial small subunit ribosomal RNA", at positions 328 to 539 of the family's 1533-position model. The record is from RNAcentral.